RNAcentral lists this transfer RNA (72 nucleotides) under Lepeophtheirus salmonis (salmon louse). RNAcentral's name for it is "transfer RNA arginine (anticodon ACG)". It matches the Rfam family "tRNA". From Rfam's summary of the family: Transfer RNA (tRNA) molecules are approximately 80 nucleotides in length. Their secondary structure includes four short double-helical elements and three loops (D, anti-codon, and T loops). The record is from RNAcentral. Lineage: Eukaryota; Metazoa; Arthropoda; Copepoda; Siphonostomatoida; Caligidae.
GGACUUAUAACUCAAUGGCUGAGUGUCGGUCUACGGAACCGAAGGCUCUGGGUUCGAAUCCCGGUAAGUUCA